Long non-coding RNA from Acanthopagrus latus (yellowfin seabream), 977 nucleotides. RefSeq lists it as uncharacterized. The transcript is spliced from 3 exons. The record is from RefSeq and is a predicted model, not a curated record. Lineage: Eukaryota; Metazoa; Chordata; Actinopteri; Spariformes; Sparidae.
UGUACCUGCUUCUCCUCACGCACGUCACAUGUUUGUGUCUAGCGUUAACCCAGUGGCGGCCAAGCGGCGGCUUUUUGGAAAAGAAGCAAUAUUUCACCUCAUUGCAGCCUUUACCAUGUCACCUUUUCUAUCUGAAAGGGGCUUGUGAGAAAUGCUCCAAAUUUUCCUUACCAUCCUGCUGGUCAAUUGACAGUCUUUUACAGCUCUUAGCCUCAAAGUUGCUGUUGAACCUGGAAGCUGCUGUUUCCUCUGGGCUGUGGAAGACCACUGGACGGCUCUGCUGAGAUUUCGAGGAUAGCUGCUUCUGUUCAUCAAGUAAGGACCUCGCUGAUCCCAAAGGACUUGGAGUCUUCAACACCAACCAUGAGGAAGAGAUGAAAGGGAGAGGGCAAGAUGUCCAAGAAGUGCUGAGGGAGGAGCAGUGAAGCAGAUCCCAGCGAAAGUUGAAUGCCUAAGUGUAAAACUGAAAUCCUUUCCCUCUCCUCUUCAAAAAAAAUAAAAAAAAAAUAAAAACAUGGUUUGUAUUAUUAUUUGUACUGCACAGACUUGUUGGUCUGGCCCCAAAUGACUGCAGUAAAGGUGGGCGAAGGCUCUUCCUACAAAGGUCUGUUCAUUGUAGGUCAUCCACCCUCACAGAACAGGCCUGGAAACACAAGUGGACAAGAGGUUCCAUGAUCUGGAUAUCAGUGGGGCCUUCAAUUUCACAAUCAGCUCCUCUACUAAGUGAUACAAGAAUGAGGUCCUGCAGGAGUGGUCCUUGUUCAAGAACAUUGUCCUUACCGUGGUGAAUUAAGUUGAUUGUGACUACGAUCAACGAAGAAGAGUUAGGAGGAGGUCAUGAAUCUGCUGGAAAACAAGUUUGAUGAAUGGAUGAGUCCCCACCCCUGCCUGGGCCUAGUCAUCACCAUUUCAACUGUGAAGUUUGAACAUGAUUUUUCAACGAUGAACUAAUAAAGACAUCACUCAGAAAAACUCAA